UGCAGUCGGACGGUAGCACAGAGAGCUUGCUCUUGGGUGACGAGUGGCGGACGGGUGAGUAAUGUCUGGGGAUCUGCCCGAUAGAGGGGGAUAACCACUGGAAACGGUGGCUAAUACCGCAUAACGUCGCAAGACCAAAGAGGGGGACCUUCGGGCCUCUCACUAUCGGAUGAACCCAGAUGGGAUUAGCUAGUAGGCGGGGUAAUGGCCCACCUAGGCGACGAUCCCUAGCUGGUCUGAGAGGAUGACCAGCCACACUGGAACUGAGACACGGUCCAGACUCCUACGGGAGGCAGCAGUGGGGAAUAUUGCACAAUGGGCGCAAGCCUGAUGCAGCCAUGCCGCGUGUAUGAAGAAGGCCUUCGGGUUGUAAAGUACUUUCAGCGGGGAGGAAGGCGAUGAGGUUAAUAACCCUGUCGAUUGACGUUACCCGCAGAAGAAGCACCGGCUAACUCCGUGCCAGCA
Molecule: ribosomal RNA, 465 nt
Filed under: Pantoea sp.
Lineage: Bacteria; Pseudomonadati; Pseudomonadota; Gammaproteobacteria; Enterobacterales; Erwiniaceae
Description: bacterial SSU rRNA
Rfam family: Bacterial small subunit ribosomal RNA
Source: RNAcentral